RNAcentral lists this ribosomal RNA (608 nucleotides) under endosymbiont of Sphenophorus levis. Its description in RNAcentral is "bacterial SSU rRNA". It matches the Rfam family "Bacterial small subunit ribosomal RNA", at positions 406 to 997 of the family's 1533-position model. Lineage: Bacteria; Pseudomonadati; Pseudomonadota; Gammaproteobacteria. The record is from RNAcentral.
UGAUGAACGUCUUAGGAUUGUAAAACACUUUCAGCAAGGGAAAAAAUUAUAUAAAUAAUACUUAUAUUAACUGAUAUUACCUGCAAAAGAAGUACCGGCUAACUCCGUGCCAGCAGCCGCGGUAAUACGGAGGGUACAAGCGUUAAUCGGAAUUAUUGGGCGUAAAGAGUACGUAGGUGGUAUAUUAAGUCAGAUGUGAAAUACUUAAGCUUAACUUAAGAACUGCAUUUGAAACUAAUAAACUAGAGUUUUAUAGAGGGGAGUAGAAUUCCAAGUGUAGCGGUGAAAUGCGUAGAUAUUUGGAGGAAUACCAGAGGCGAAGGCGACUCCCUGGGUAAUAACUGACACUGAGGUACGAAAGCUUGGGGAGCAAACAGGAUUAGAUACCCUGGUAGUCCAUGCUGUAAACGAUGUCAAUUUGAAGAUUGUAAUAUUAUUAUUUUUUAUAAUUUUCGUAGCUAACGCAUUAAAUUGACCGCCUGGGGAUUACGACCGCAAGGUUAAAACUCAAAUGAAUUGACGGGGACCCGCACAAGCGGUGGAGCAUGUGGUUCUAAUUUCGAUACAACGCGAAAAAACCUUACCUACUCUUGACAUCUAUAAGUAUU